AAACGGUAGCUAAUACCGCAUAACGUCGCAGGACCAAAGUGGGGGACCUUCGGGCCUCACACCAUCGGAUGUGCCCAGAUGGGAUUAGCUAGUAGGUGGGGUAAUGGCUCACCUAGGCGACGAUCCCUAGCUGGUCUGAUAGGAUGACCAGCCACACUGGAACUGAGACACGGUCCAGACUCCUACGGGAGGCAGCAGUGGCGAAUAUUGCACAAUGGGCGCAAGCCUGAUGCAGCCCUGCUGCGUGUAUGAAGAAGGCCUUCGGGUUGUAAAGUACUUUCAGCGAGGAGGAAGGCAUUAAUGUUAAUAACCUUAGUGAUUGACGUUACUCGCAGAAGAAGCACCGGCUAACUCCGUGCCAGCAGGCCGCGGUAAUACGGAGGGUGCAA
Molecule: ribosomal RNA, 389 nt
Filed under: Kluyvera sp. DsF.N019
Lineage: Bacteria; Pseudomonadati; Pseudomonadota; Gammaproteobacteria; Enterobacterales; Enterobacteriaceae
Description: bacterial SSU rRNA
Rfam family: Bacterial small subunit ribosomal RNA
Source: RNAcentral